GGGGGUGAUCGGUUUCGACUUUGACGGUUGAAGUGAGAGAAGCGAGCCGUGGUCUCCGGAUCCACGAAAAAGAGCCGGAAACAAAUACAAACGCCAACGUCGAUCAAGACGAUCUGGUGCUCGCAGCCUGAUCUCAGGUUGUGAGUUCGGCCCGGUAGCCCCCGUCCUGCGGGCAUCGGUGCCAUCAUCUGCAGGGCUCGCCCGCCGCCCGUGCCGACGGGGCGGCGGGGACACGCACAGACGGCUACGGCGACUGGCAGGGUGUCGCUGCCCGCCAUCGCCCCACCAAUCCCCCAGCGACUGCGCUCGGAGAAGACUCACCGAAACGUUGAAGGACGCGGGUUCGAUUCCCGCCACCUCCACGC
This 365-nucleotide transfer-messenger RNA is filed under the name Acidimicrobiaceae bacterium. It matches the Rfam family "transfer-messenger RNA". From Rfam's summary of the family: Bacterial tmRNA, also known as 10Sa RNA or SsrA, is named for its dual tRNA and mRNA-like properties. Its role is to liberate the mRNA from a stalled ribosome. Lineage: Bacteria; Bacillati; Actinomycetota; Acidimicrobiia; Acidimicrobiales; Acidimicrobiaceae. The record is from RNAcentral.